GAUGAACGCUGGCGGUGUGCCUAAUACAUGCAAGUCGAACGGACAGAUAAGGAUCUUGCUCCUUUUACGUUAGCGGCGGACGGGUGAGUAACACGUGGAUAACCUACCUAUAAGACUGGGAUAACUUCAGGAAACCGGAGCUAAUACCGGAUAACAUAUUGAACCGCAUGGUUCAAUAGUGAAAGGCGGCUUUGCUGUCACUUAUAGAUGGAUCCGCGCCGGAUUAGCUAGUUGGUAAGGUAACGGCUUACCAAGGCAACGAUACGUAGCCGACCUGAGAGGGUGAUCGGCCACACUGGAACUGAGACACGGUCCAGACUCCUACGGGAGGCAGCAGUAGGGAAUCUUCCGCAAUGUGCGAAAGCCUGACGGAGCAACGCCGCGUGAGUGAUGAAGGUCUUCGGAUCGUAAAACUCUGUUAGCAGGGAAGAACAAAUGUGUAAGUAACUGUGCACAUCUUGACGGUACCUGAUCAGAAAGCAACGGCUAACUACGUG
RNAcentral lists this ribosomal RNA (497 nucleotides) under uncultured bacterium. RNAcentral describes it as "partial 16S ribosomal RNA". It matches the Rfam family "Bacterial small subunit ribosomal RNA", at positions 28 to 507 of the family's 1533-position model. The record is from RNAcentral.